CUAUGCCUACGGGGCGCAGCAGCCGCGGUAAUACGUAGGGGGCAAGCGUUAUCCGGAAUUACUGGGUGUAAAGGGAGCGUAGACGGUAAUGCAAGUCUGGAGUGAAAGGCGGGGGCCCAACCCCCGGACUGCUCUGGAAACUGUGUAACUGGAGUGCAGGAGAGGCAGGCGGAAUUUCUAGUGUAGCGGUGAAAUGCGUAGAUAUUAGGAGGAACACCAGGGGCGAAGGCGGCCUGCUGGACUGUAACUGACGUUGAGGCUCGGAAGCGUGGGGAGCAAAAAGGAUUAG
Molecule: ribosomal RNA, 289 nt
Filed under: uncultured bacterium
Lineage: Bacteria
Description: partial 16S ribosomal RNA
Rfam family: Bacterial small subunit ribosomal RNA
Source: RNAcentral